AAAAUGGCGACACGUGGUUAGCAUUCGUCGCCAACGAGAAAUUGGGGUCGGCCCGAAAGCUCUAGAAUGCACCCCUCUUCCUCCCCGGGGCCUUCCACCUCCGCGAGUUUUAUGACUUAAAAAAGCCCACAGGCUGGUCUGAAGAGGAAGACAAACAUAAAGAUGAAGUGCUUAAUUCAAGGUCACACAAUGUCGGGGAUGGACCUCCAGAUUUCCUUACUGACCUGCAUUAUCUUGUGGAUACCUGAGUGAAUUCCACACCACCCAUUUUAUAGAUGAAACCACUGAGACAUGGAGCAAUUGACUGAGUAGUCACUGCCCCACCCCUGCCUGGAGCCUCACACAUGACUCGCCUCCUCUCAGUGACCACAGGUUGGUUGAGGGGUUUAACAAGGCUAAGAAGAGACGGAGUCUUGCUAUGUUGCCCAGGCUGGUCUUGAACUCCUCACCUCAAGCGAUCCUCCCGUCUUGGCCUCCCAAGUGUCAGGAUUACGGGCAUGUGCUAUCACACCCAACCUGAUACAUUGCCUUUAUAAAUUUUUUUUUCUUUAUUCUAAAAACCAGAAAAAACAAAACUG
Molecule: long non-coding RNA, 578 nt
Filed under: Homo sapiens (human)
Lineage: Eukaryota; Metazoa; Chordata; Mammalia; Primates; Hominidae
Description: non-protein coding PCBP1-AS1:103
Source: RNAcentral